AUGAUCCCACUUUUCUCGCUCACCCUCAUGCUCCUGCAUGCUCCUGCACCUGCGGUAUGCGACGACCUAGGUGCAGGCCUCUCUCCAGGCCAUCGCACAUACAUUGUGCUGCUGAGGCCACCCGUCGAAGCCGGCAGCGAGGACGACCACCGCUGGUGGCAGGAUUCCUUCCUGCCAACGCCUCUCGCCGGCUCCGAUGAGCCACGCCUCAUCCAUACCUACACUGAGGUCUUCACGGGGUUUGCCGUGAGGCUCACCGAAGACGACCUCGCCAUGGUGUCCCAGAGGAAGGAGUUUCUGCGGGCGUUUCCAGACCAUCUCUGGCACCCCAGCACCACUCACACUCCGAAGUUCCUCGGACUGGAGAAAGAUGCCGGGCUGUGGAGGGACACCAACUAUGGCCAAGGAGUCAUAAUCGGGGUUCUGGACACCGGCAUAUACGCAGAGCAUCCUUCCUUUGAUGACAGUGGCAUCCCGCCACCCCCAUCAAAGUGGAAGGGCUCAUGCCAUGGCGCUGCACGCUGCAACAACAAAUUGAUAGGUGCCAAAUUCCGUAAUCCCAGAGCAUAUGAUUCCGGAGACGACACAGGGCAUGGAACACAUACCUCGUCCACCGCAGCUGGGAACUUCGUCAGUCAUGCCUCAGCCCACGGCCUCGGCAGGGGCACAGCUGCCGGAAUUGCUCCACAUGCACACUUGGCCAUGUACAGGGUGUGCAUAAUUCUUGGGUGUGCAUCCUCGGACAUAGUUGCCGGGUUAGAUGAAGCUGUCAAGGAUGGUGUUGAUGUGCUUUCACUCUCCCUCGGCCCCUUUUUUGAUGUCAAUUUCACUGAUGAUCCGGUUGCCAUUGGCACAUUCAAUGCGGUAGCAAAGGGUGUUGUUGUCGUGGCUGCAGCUGGUAACAACGGGCCAAGGUCCUUUAUUGCCAACUCUGCACCAUGGUUGCUCACAGUUGCAGCUGGCUCGGUGGACCGAAGCUUCCAGACCGUUGUGCAGCUUGGCAACGGCGAGCACAUCAGUGGGGAAGCUUUCAAUCAGACUGCGAACUCAAGCUCCAACUCUGCUCCUCUGUAUUGGAACAAACACUGCAAGUCAUCAUUGGCUGGAAGAAAUGUGUCUGGCAAAAUUGUGAUUUGCCAUAACACAGGACCAAUGAAUGACACAGGGUCAGCAAUCAACCAGUCUGACAUCAGUGGCAUCAUGAGUGCCGGGGCGGCUGGCAUAGUCCUGAUCAACAGGAAAGAUGCUGGCUUCACCACCCUUCUGGAGGAUUAUGGCAGUGAUGUUGUGCAGGUGACCGUGGCUGAUGGCAACAAUAUCAUAGAGUAUGCAAGGGCAACAAGCAAAGCCAGUGCCAAAGUCAUAUACAAGAACACUGUGCUUGGUGUCCGUCCAUCUCCCACUGUCGCGGCAUUCUCAUCCCGCGGUCCCAGCACGUUCAGCCCCGGUGUGCUAAAGCCAGAUAUAUUAGCACCCGGGCUCAACAUCAUUGCUGCAUGGCCACCACUCACCAUUCUUGGAUCUGGGCCAUUCAACAUUAGAUCAGGGACAUCCAUGUCGACUCCACAUGUCAGUGGAAUCGCUGCGCUUGUCAAGAGCUCCCAUCCUGAUUGGUCUGCUGCUGCUAUCAAGUCAGCCAUCCUCACCACAGCUGACAUCACGGACAGCGCUGGUGGCCCAAUCUUGGACGAGCAGCAUCAGAGGGCAACCGCGUAUGCCAUGGGUGCUGGCCAUGCCAAUCCUAUAAAAGCUAUUGAUCCGGGCCUUGUGUAUGACCUUAGCAUCACUGAAUAUGCUGGCUACAUAUGUGCUCUCCUCGGUGAUCAAGGCUUGGCAACCAUUGCGCGUGCCCCGACGCUGUCCUGCAAAAUGCUUCCCAAGAUACCAGAGGCACAGUUGAACUACCCAUCCAUAACAGUGCCACUCAGGACAAGGCCAUUCACGGUGAACAGAACCGUUACAAAUGUGGGGCCAAUAAAUUCAGUAUACACACUGAAGAUGGAGGUUCCCAAGUCUCUCACAGUGCGAGUCUAUCCAGAGACGCUGGUGUUCUCCAAGGUUGGACAAAAGAAAACAUUCAGCAUUACGGUGAGCAGGCAUCGCAAUGUCGGGUCAAAGGCCUUGCAGGGAAGUUUGAGCUGGGUGUCCAAAAAACAUGUUGUGCGUAGUCCGAUCGUGGCUUCUCCUCUGUUGUAA
Molecule: ribosomal RNA, 2196 nt
Filed under: Triticum aestivum (bread wheat)
Lineage: Eukaryota; Viridiplantae; Streptophyta; Magnoliopsida; Poales; Poaceae
Description: partial small subunit ribosomal RNA
Source: RNAcentral